AUUUCCUCAUGUUUUCAUUGUUCACUUAUUUAUAUCUUUUUCACAUGUUUGGAAGUCCUUUCCCUAACCCUCGAAAAGGCCUUUGUUUCCUUUCUUUCCAUGGGGUAGCUAGCCACAAGGUAGAUACUCAAUCCAUGAUGUUGGCUAAACAAUUGGUUUCUCCAUGGCCAGAGAAGACUUUUCUGCAAAGUUCUUUGGAUCUGACCACCCCUGAGCACAUAGAGUUAUUUAUACAAUGGUUUAUGAAGAAAACUGCUGCUUGUGUUUUUCCAUGGCUGAAGAGGCAGGAAAUUGAGCAGCAGUGGCCUAACUCAUGGAAACUCCACCCCAUGUACUGGCACCAUGGUAAUUUUGCUUAGUCUGCUUUCUGGGACUUGCUCAAACCUGUUAAGUUCUCACUUUAAAAACUUGCAGAUGCAUCCACCGAAUAUUUAUGCACUCACAUUCAUAUGCAAAGAAGUUGGUACUGAGAUGAGACACCUCAUCAAGAAGGCUUACAACUGACUUGUGACAGAUUUAUUCAGAUUUGCCUUCAUUCUCUCUUCUGGUCCUCCAGGAUCAUGGCCAUACACGUGCAGGGAUCCUCUCUGGGUUCAGAGCACAGUCUGGUCUGUGGGACCUGUGUACUGACUGGCAUUCACACAUGAAAACCACAGCCUAGGCCUCAUUAGCACAAUCUAAUCUACUGAGCUGAACAACCACAAAUAUGCAAACUCAAGAGGACUUUGGACGGCAAACAGGUGCACAUGCAUUUUGGCGCUGUGCGCAGAGUUUUUCGUAUGCUGUUUCGUUUGCUCUUCCCAACUGACCUAUUCCGUGGGGACAUUGAGGUCCAAAGAAUGUCUAUGACUAAACACAAUGAGUCAGUGGUAAGGAUUACGGAAAAUGCAUGUCCCAGGCAGCAUGCAAAUGACUUCAUCAUAUGUGGGUUUGGCCAUGUAAGAAGUUAAAUUAUCUCAGCAAUUUUGUGAACUUGACUUUCUUCAUGAUUAUCCCCCUUCCUGUGUGGCUGUCCCAAGAGAGCUGGUUGUUGAGUAAAGCUCUGUGAGAGCUAAGGAUGAGUACAGAUGCCUAAGAAACACUAUACCAGGGUGCAGAAUGUGCCGUGCUACAGAAUUUCCCUAAUGAAGGAAUUCAGGAAAAUUCUAAAGACUGUCAGAAAGUUUAAGUUCCAAAGUUUGUUCCUCCUCCCAGAAAAGUGCCUUUUUGGAUCUCACUUCAGAGGAAAGUGACAAAGCUUUUACAGUAAGUCCCUUAUCUCCUUUCACUUUUUAAAUCUUAAGAAC
Molecule: long non-coding RNA, 1286 nt
Filed under: Equus caballus (horse)
Lineage: Eukaryota; Metazoa; Chordata; Mammalia; Perissodactyla; Equidae
Description: lncRNA (ENSECAG00000050756.1)
Source: RNAcentral